AGACGGAGGGUGCAAGCGUUGUUCGGAAUCACUGGGCGUAAAGCGCGUGUAGGCGGUUCGAUAAGUCGAAUGUGAAAGCCCGAGGCUCAACCUCGGAAGUGCAUUCGAAACUGUCGGGCUUGAGUACGGGAGAGGGUAGUGGAAUUCCUAGUGUAGGAGUGAAAUCCGUAGAUAUUAGGAGGAACACCGGUGGCGAAGGCGGCUACCUGGACCGAUAUUGACGCUGAGACGCGAAAGCGU
RNAcentral lists this ribosomal RNA (240 nucleotides) under uncultured bacterium. Its description in RNAcentral is "partial 16S ribosomal RNA". It matches the Rfam family "Bacterial small subunit ribosomal RNA", at positions 523 to 762 of the family's 1533-position model. The record is from RNAcentral.